AGCACGGCGAGGGAGGAGCGAAGGAGCAGGGCGAUGCAUGAAGAGACCGCGGUUCAUGGAGAUGGGGAGAAUGCAGUCUUUGCUACACAUCCUUUUGGGGCAGGGAAUCUCUCUCGCUACAGCAGUGUUGCUGUAGCCUUGUUGGUCCCAGGAGAUGAGAGAGACCAGCACAUUGGGAGCCAGUGAUGAAAGAACCUGUUGGGUUUUUCCCUUCUGCUGCACCUGGAAUCUCAACUCUCCAGAUAUUCACUCUGCUGCACAACUUAUGUCUCUCGCCAAACAUUCUGGCCAAGUUGGAUCCUGAGGUCAAGUCAUCUCUGCAAUUCUCAGCUCAGUGGCUGCAAUCCUGGAAGAACAUUCCAGAUAUGUCUGGAAAAGCAUGGAUAAUGAUGUUGGUAUCUUUGCGCAGGUCCGACAAGAUGCUGAGAAUCUUAGCUCCUACCUCAGGCCCUGCUUCAGCAAAACACAUAGUUCAGUUCCAUUGACUUCACUAGAAGUAAGCAUGCUCUUAAAAUGAAUUGCUUUGCUGAAAAUCAGGGCAUAGUUGGGGUUGAGGGCACUUGGACCUCACAGAAGAUGCUUAGUACAUUGCAUGAUCAAAAGCUCUACUAUGUUUAUUAAGCCCAAACAUCCCAGCUUUUCAUUUUGGUUUCAUCUCCGGAGCUCUCUGAUUUAAUUUAUUUUUCUUUUUCUGCCUCCUGUGACAGAACAGUUCCCUGGGCCCUUCUCUUUCUUGCUGCCAUCAUGUUCUUUAGUCUCUCCUUGAACUCUUCAUAUUGUUCAACCAGGAGAACUUUAGGAACAUUAUUCAGUGACUCCAUACCAUGUGCUGAGGGGACUCUGAGGGCUGUAAGAGUCAGGAAUUAGAUGAUGCAAGUCCUACCUGAGAAAACUUCCUUCUCUCUCCUAUAUGUUAUCAAACUUACAAGGUCAAGUUGAGCCUCACUAUUUGACUGGGUAAGAGGUGUAAAUGCUAAUAGUUAAUACAUUUGUUUUGCCAAUCAAAAGAAGUUGUCCUCCAUGCAUGACAAUUUCAAAUACCUAGGCAUCAAUAUUGAUUGCAUAAGAUUGUUAAAUGUAAACUGAUAAGGGCUCCAAAUCCAGAAGACAUACAUUUGACUCAAUCAAAAAAGGAACUGAGAUGUUAACAUUAUGGACAAAUAAUCCAGUAAUCCAAUUUGUACUAAUUAAAUUAGUUCUUCCUUUGGCUAUUCAGCUUCCUGUUCCAAAGUACAAUUGCUGAAAUUAAUUACUAUGGCUGACUCAUUCAUGUGCCACAUUUGACUACAAGAAUACAGCAUUUCUAGAAUAGAAGAUAGAAAAAUAAGUGUAUUUUAAUGAGAAGCACUACACAAUUUGUUAGGACUUAAAUGAGAUAUGAUUUCUUUUCUGUGCCAAUGGCCUGCACUGAGGGAACACUGGAACUACAAAAAGUUCUGUGCUGUCAUAACACGCCCUGCCAUUCUAUACAAAUGGGAACUACUCGUAAUUAAUAACCUCAAGAUGUCCUCUGACCACCUAGCAGAAUUUUUUAACAUAUCCCUAGAAGUCCAAGGGAUAGAUAGGAAAAAAACAACAAAACCCCAGAUGACACAUCAGGAAAAAAGUAAGCUUGGAAAUAACAGUGGCCAUUUUAUAAACUCUCAGGUGCAGCUUUUCAAUCAUUAGCAAACCAUUUACUAAUUAAAAAAAAAGUUGUGUUCUCUGAGACUGAAAAUCCUAGAGGUGCAGACAGCACUGUAGAACUGCAGAUUUGUCAUUAUCGUCUCUUCAUAAAACCGAGAAAGCUAAAGAGAAAAACUAACAAAUAGAAAUUAUACACUGUGUCUUGCUCAGUUUGCUAAAGCAGAGUCAAAUGCUGUUAGGGAAUGUGAGUAUUAUAGCUGACAGUCUCAGAAGUACUAACUCCCAUUGACACAAUACCAUGGGCCAAAUUCACACCUAUCAAAACCAGGCAUGACUUCCAUUGACAUUUCUGAGAGUUGGGCCAGCUGUGAAAUAGUUCCCCAGUCUUUAAAUGGCCUCUGACCUGCUACUGUCAGUUAGACAUUGACUUUAGUCCUAUUAUUGGAAUUUUCAUCCUGAAGGUCUUGGUUGGUGGAGUAGUUUUGUGAGUGCUUGUGUAUGCCCAUUCCAAUGGAGGGUGUGUGCAUCCCAUGUACCGAUGCCAGAGAGUUUUUACUAGCAGCUUUCCCUCAUGCCUGGAGCUGACAGUCUGGAGGGUGGUGCAGCCUUGUCCAUCCCUUCAAUUCCUUCUUAUCAUCUGUGGUUGGCACAUGGUGU
This is a long non-coding RNA of Dermochelys coriacea (leatherback sea turtle), 2283 nucleotides long. RefSeq lists it as uncharacterized. Lineage: Eukaryota; Metazoa; Chordata; Testudines; Dermochelyidae. The record is from RefSeq and is a predicted model, not a curated record. The transcript has 3 exons.